RNAcentral lists this transfer RNA (69 nucleotides) under Ictidomys tridecemlineatus (thirteen-lined ground squirrel). Its description in RNAcentral is "Spermophilus tridecemlineatus (thirteen-lined ground squirrel) tRNA". It matches the Rfam family "tRNA". Rfam says of the family: Transfer RNA (tRNA) molecules are approximately 80 nucleotides in length. RNAcentral also lists the same sequence under 1 other name. The record is from Rfam by way of RNAcentral. Lineage: Eukaryota; Metazoa; Chordata; Mammalia; Rodentia; Sciuridae.
GGGGAUGUGGCUCAGUGGUAGAGUGCUUGCCUAGCAUGCAUGAGGCAUUGGGUUUGAUCCUCAGCUCCA